GAGUGCUAGCUCAGUGGUAAAGAGCACUGGCUGCUCUUUCAGAAGACCUGGGGUUCAAUUCCCAGCACUCA
This 71-nucleotide transfer RNA is filed under the name Neotoma lepida (desert woodrat). It matches the Rfam family "tRNA". Rfam says of the family: Transfer RNA (tRNA) molecules are approximately 80 nucleotides in length. Lineage: Eukaryota; Metazoa; Chordata; Mammalia; Rodentia; Cricetidae. The record is from Rfam by way of RNAcentral.